GCAGUAGCCGCGGGAAUACGAAGGGGGCUAGCGUUGCUCGGAAUGACUGGGCGUAAAGGGCGCGUAGGCGGCGGCCAAAGUCAGGCGUGAAAUUCCUGGGCUCAACCUGGGGGCUGCGCUUGAUACUUGGUUGCUUGAGUGGGGAAGAGGGUCGUGGAAUUCCCAGUGUAGAGGUGAAAUUCGUAGAUAUUGGGAAGAACACCGGUGGCGAAGGCGGCGACCUGGUCCUUGACUGACGCUGAGGCGCGAAAGCGUGGGGAGCAAACAGGAUUAGAUACCCGUGUAGUCCCUGUCUCUUAUAC
This 302-nucleotide ribosomal RNA is filed under the name uncultured bacterium. RNAcentral's name for it is "partial 16S ribosomal RNA". It matches the Rfam family "Bacterial small subunit ribosomal RNA", at positions 508 to 807 of the family's 1533-position model. The record is from RNAcentral.